UACGUAGGGUGCAAGCGUUAAUCGGAAUUACUGGGCGUAAAGCGUGCGCAGGCGGUUAUGUAAGACAGGUGUGAAAUCCCAGGGCUUAACCUUGGAACUGCAUUUGUGACUGCAUAGCUAGAGUACGGUAGAGGGGGAUGGAAUUCCGCGUGUAGCAGUGAAAUGCGUAGAUAUGCGGAGGAACACCGAUGGCGAAGGCAGUCCCCUGGGCCUGUACUGACGCUCAUGCACGAAAGCGUGGGGAGCAAACAGG
RNAcentral lists this ribosomal RNA (253 nucleotides) under uncultured bacterium. RNAcentral describes it as "partial 16S ribosomal RNA". It matches the Rfam family "Bacterial small subunit ribosomal RNA", at positions 524 to 776 of the family's 1533-position model. The record is from RNAcentral.